This 255-nucleotide ribosomal RNA is filed under the name uncultured bacterium. Its description in RNAcentral is "partial 16S ribosomal RNA". It matches the Rfam family "Bacterial small subunit ribosomal RNA", at positions 524 to 777 of the family's 1533-position model. The record is from RNAcentral.
UACGGAGGGUGCAAGCGUUGCUCGGAAUUAUUGGGCGUAAAGGGCAGGUAGGUGGUCUCAUUUGUCUGGGGUGAAAGCCUUGAGCUUAACUCAAGAAGUGCCCCAGAAACGGUGAGACUGGAGUUCUGGAGAGGGUCAUGGAAUUCCCGGUGUAGCGGUGAAAUGCGUAGAUAUCACACAGAACACCGAUUGCGAAGGCAGCUGGCCAACUUGUAACUGACGCUGAGGGACGAAAGUGUGGGGGAUCAAACAGGG